This 834-nucleotide ribosomal RNA is filed under the name Staphylococcus aureus. Its description in RNAcentral is "partial 23S ribosomal RNA". It matches the Rfam family "Bacterial large subunit ribosomal RNA", at positions 15 to 846 of the family's 2925-position model. The record is from RNAcentral. Lineage: Bacteria; Bacillati; Bacillota; Bacilli; Caryophanales; Staphylococcaceae.
GGGCGCACGGUGGAUGCCUUGGCACUAGAAGCCGAUGAAGGACGUUACUAACGACGAUAUGCUUUGGGGAGCUGUAAGUAAGCUUUGAUCCAGAGAUUUCCGAAUGGGGAAACCCAGCAUGAGUUAUGUCAUGUUAUCGAUAUGUGAAUACAUAGCAUAUCAGAAGGCACACCCGGAGAACUGAAACAUCUUAGUACCCGGAGGAAGAGAAAGAAAAUUCGAUUCCCUUAGUAGCGGCGAGCGAAACGGGAAGAGCCCAAACCAACAAGCUUGCUUGUUGGGGUUGUAGGACACUCUAUACGGAGUUACAAAGGACGACAUUAGACGAAUCAUCUGGAAAGAUGAAUCAAAGAAGGUAAUAAUCCUGUAGUCGAAAAUGUUGUCUCUCUUGAGUGGAUCCUGAGUACGACGGAGCACGUGAAAUUCCGUCGGAAUCUGGGAGGACCAUCUCCUAAGGCUAAAUACUCUCUAGUGACCGAUAGUGAACCAGUACCGUGAGGGAAAGGUGAAAAGCACCCCGGAAGGGGAGUGAAAUAGAACCUGAAACCGUGUGCUUACAAGUAGUCAGAGCCCGUUAAUGGGUGAUGGCGUGCCUUUUGUAGAAUGAACCGGCGAGUUACGAUUUGAUGCAAGGUUAAGCAGUAAAUGUGGAGCCGUAGCGAAAGCGAGUCUGAAUAGGGCGUUUAGUAUUUGGUCGUAGACCCGAAACCAGGUGAUCUACCCUUGGUCAGGUUGAAGUUCAGGUAACACUGAAUGGAGGACCGAACCGACUUACGUUGAAAAGUGAGCGGAUGAACUGAGGGUAGCGGAGAAAUUCCAAUCGAACCUGGAGAU